Molecule: ribosomal RNA, 468 nt
Filed under: uncultured bacterium
Lineage: Bacteria
Description: partial 16S ribosomal RNA
Rfam family: Bacterial small subunit ribosomal RNA
Source: RNAcentral
GACGAACGCUGGCGGCGUGCUUAACACAUGCAAGUCGAACGGAAAGGCCCUGCUUUUGUGGGGUUCUCGAGUGGCGAACGGGUGAGUAACACGUGAGUAACCUGCCCUUGACUUUGGGAUAACAUCAGGAAACUGGGGCUAAUACCGGAUAGGAGCUCCUGCUGCAUGGUGGGGGUUGGAAAGUUUCGGCGGUGGUGGAUGGACUAGCGGCUUAUCAGCUUGUUGGGGAGGUAGUGGUUUACCAAGGCUUCGACGGGUAGCCGGCCUGGGAGGGUGACCGGCCACAUUGGGACUGAGAUACGGCCCAGACUCCUACGGGAGGCAGCGGUGGGGAAUAUUGCACAGUGGGCGGAAGCCUGAUGCAGCAACGCCGCGUGCGGGAUGACGGCCUUCGGGUUGUAAACCGCUGUCGCCUGUGACGAAGCGUGAGUGACGGUAAUGGGUAAAGAAGCACCGGCUAACUACGUG